GAAUUUCAUACAUUUGUACCGAAGACAGCAGGGGCCCAGCGGCUUAAUUUCCUGCCGAGGGAAUACGAUAGAAUGAGCCAGUGAAAUGGCUAUUGUAUUAUGCCUCCAUGUCUUACGGAUAUGGAGGCUUUUAUUUGCCCGG
Molecule: regulatory RNA element, 142 nt
Organism: Bacillus sp. FJAT-18017
Lineage: Bacteria; Bacillati; Bacillota; Bacilli; Caryophanales; Bacillaceae
Rfam family: Ribosomal protein L10 leader
About the family: This family is a putative r-protein leader autoregulatory structure found in B. subtilis and other low-GC Gram-positive bacteria. It is located in the 5' untranslated regions of mRNAs encoding ribosomal proteins L10 and L12 (rplJ-rplL). A Rho-independent transcription terminator structure that is probably involved in regulation is included at the 3' end.
Source: Rfam